Molecule: ribosomal RNA, 497 nt
Filed under: uncultured bacterium
Lineage: Bacteria
Description: partial 16S ribosomal RNA
Rfam family: Bacterial small subunit ribosomal RNA
Source: RNAcentral
GAUGAACGCUGGCGGCGUGCCUAAUACAUGCAAGUCGAGCGAACAGACGAGGAGCUUGCUCCUUCGACGUUAGCGGCGGACGGGUGAGUAAUACGUAGGUAACCUACCUAUAAGACUGGGAUAACUUCGGGAAACCGGAGCUAAUACCGGAUAAUAUUUCGAACCGCAUGGUUCGAUAGUGAAAGAUGGCUUUGCUAUCACUUAUAGAUGGACCUGCGCCGUAUUAGCUAGUUGGUAAGGUAACGGCUUACCAAGGCAACGAUACGUAGCCGACCUGAGAGGGAGAUCGGCCACACUGGAACUGAGACACAGUCCAGACUCCUACGGGAGGCAGCAGUAGGGAAUCUUCAGCAAUGGGCGAAAGCCUGACGGAGCAACGCCGCGUGAGUGAUGAAGGUCUUCGGAUCGUAAAACUCUGUUAUUAGGGAAGAACAAACGUGUAAGUACCUGUGCACGUCUUGACGGUACCUAAUCAGAAAGCCACGGCUAACUACGUG